RNAcentral lists this ribosomal RNA (256 nucleotides) under uncultured bacterium. RNAcentral's name for it is "partial 16S ribosomal RNA". It matches the Rfam family "Bacterial small subunit ribosomal RNA", at positions 524 to 777 of the family's 1533-position model. The record is from RNAcentral.
UACGAAGGGGGCUAGCGUUGCUCGGAAUCACUGGGCGUAAAGCGCACGUAGGCGGAUCUUUUAAGUCAGGGGUGAAAUCCCAAGGCUCAACCUUGGAACUGCCUUUGAUACUGGGGAUCUCGAGUCCGGAAGAGGUUGGUGGAACUGCGAGUGUAGAGGUGAAAUUCGUAGAUAUUCGCAAGAACACCAGUGGCGAAGGCGGCCAACUGGUCCGGUACUGACGCUGAGGUGCGGAAAGCGUGGGGAGCAAACAGGG